CCCUAAACACCGAGAAUGAAAUCCCUAAACCCCAAAGUCACAUAUCAUUUAACAUCAUAUCUCUUCUUCUCUACUACUUUAUGCUCUUUCUCCAACUUAAACUCUAAAACCCUAAAACUCCAAAUAAUUUUUUUUUAAAUUAACACAAAUACAUAUUAUAUAAAACAACAUUUGUUACACAUACAUUAGGAUGGUAAAAAAACAAUAUUUCUUUAAACAUACGUUACAAUAGAGAAAUACAACAUCAGAGACAUAUAUUACAUCACUCUAAAUCAUUUUCGUUCUCAUCAAUAUUACAUCACUCUAAAUCGUUUUCGUUCUCAUCACUAUCAUUACAAUCAUCAUCGUCGCUUCUCUCGAACUCGUCUUCACGUGCUUCAUCUGUCGAAUCUUUGGGAAUAUCUUCAUAUUGAAAGUUUUGCGGGUCGAUCAAAAGGAUUUCAUCAGUUGGUUGUUCUGGUUCCUCAACUUCAUUGAU
This 478-nucleotide long non-coding RNA is filed under the name Brassica napus (rape). RNAcentral's name for it is "long non-coding RNA (BNAP_LNC022253)". Lineage: Eukaryota; Viridiplantae; Streptophyta; Magnoliopsida; Brassicales; Brassicaceae. The record is from RNAcentral.